CAGGUGGUGAUACCCUAAGAAUCAUUCCAGUUUGGCCUCAAGCAAGGGUUGUAAACUGCUCAUUUUGCCAGGAACAGCAAGGGCUCAAGUCCUGGGAUCACAAGAGGUCCCUGUGCUCCCCUUCCCUUCCCCCACCUGCACAGAGACAGGUGAAGAAGGGCUGGAGCCCUGCUGUUCUGCUGACUGCAUUUUGGGGGUUGAAUGACAGAUUGAAGUCUGUCUGGUACACACCAGUGCCAUCACAGGCAGGGUGAGCACAGCAGCUGUGCCUCACCAGCACACAGGGGCCAUAUGAAGGACCAAGAUCUCCACCUUUUGAGUCCAGCACAGGUAAAACAGAGGUGCACGCUCCGAGCUCUGCAUGUCCCGCUGCUUCCACCAAGGUAAACAGGAGACAGUCACAGUAAUUACCAGGAAUGAGCUGAGCCAAACAUCCCGUCCCUGCAGCUGCUUCCUGGGACACAGGAGCAGGCAGGGCAGGGAAACUUGACCUGCCAGGAUAUCACCAGUGUCUCUCUCUGUUCAAACAAGAAAUGAGGUUCAUCAGUCCUUGCUCCGGGUAAAUUCCAACUCGAGCGUGAAGCCAGCGAUUUCGCAGUUGCUGCGGCUCACCCGGGAGAUGACGUCAAGUGCAGCGCUAAAAUUUUUCGGUUUAUUAGCUAAUUCCUGCACUUUCUCUGCCUGUGACGUGGUAACAACGUGCAUUUCUUCUGUGCUUCUCAAACAAAAUCCUGCUUGGCUGGUAGAUUAAUUUAUCUGCUGCUCUAACUUUGCCUUUUCCAGACUGACCAAAUGGAAACGGUUCGAAACUCCUGAAGUCUCCUGACUGCCAUCAGAGGAGAAAAUUCCAACAAGCUGGAAAGUCUCCUCUGCAAACAAACAUCAAUGCUGCCUGUUGUACAAGCCCCUGGUUGGUUCAGUUUGCCUUUGCUGGAGUGGCCUUUAUAUCUGUGACUUCAUACAAGAUGUGUAGGUGUGGGAUUAAAACCUUUCCAAUCAGACCAUCUUCAAACACAUAAAAAAAGCUCAGCUUGUGUCAGGAGCCUCCCCUGUUUGGACAAGAUGAGCAGGAAAUUCCGACAUGUUCCUGAGACGUGAGGGGUGGAAAAGGAAUAAGAGUGUGAUGAUGUCAGCCUGUUUAUUUGGGAGAGGAUGAGCAAGGACUCCUCAGAUCUGCUUUUCCUGGGUGAUCUUCGUACCAGUUUAAGUCCUGCUCUGCCAAAGUGGAGAGCUGCGAGGUGGUAACAGCUACCAGCUGCUGGCACCAUCCAGCCUGAGCCAAGAUGAGCAAGCCUGGAAAUGAAGGAGAAUUCAGCCUGUGCCUUGAUUGCCUUGGGCAGGGGGAAGGGACAAAGAUGACUGCAAGUGCAGGGCUCCUAUCAGCCAUGGCAAGCAAACAGUAAAUAUUUUCUAAAGUGACCCGAAUUAACCUUCUUGUCAUGGCAAAACACACACGGGCAGAGCUGUCAAGGACACAGCAGCCCUGCUUUCCUGCUGACAGCCUCCAGUGAUGUCCCAGGUACCAAAGGACACUUCAAAUGGCCCCAAUCACCUGUGUUUAGGCAACAGAGUUAUACCUUCCUGACUGAGAAGGGUCCCAAAUGGGGAUUUGCACCAAGGACAGGCAAUCUUGCUGCUUGGCCAAGUUCUGAAGUUCAUUCUCAGGAAAACUCCCACUAAUCUAAGGCACGCCAGGAUUUCAUUUACUGCUGGGAAAUGUGAAACCUCCCUGGCUAAAGUAUCUUAAUUAGGCCAUUAGAGCCCGGUAUAAAAUGGCUGAGAUAAACAGGGGCAGGAGGGCACAGGAUAUUGUCAAUGCAUUGUAAAGCCUUUGCUGCUCAGCCUGGGGUUCAAACUGUCCAGAGCCACAU
Molecule: long non-coding RNA, 1871 nt
Organism: Myiozetetes cayanensis
Lineage: Eukaryota; Metazoa; Chordata; Aves; Passeriformes; Tyrannidae
Exons: 8
Source: RefSeq, a predicted model, not a curated record